CGCACAUUGCGCCCCUUGGUAUUCCGAGGGGCAUGCCUGUUCGAGCGUCAUUUCACCAAUCAAGCAACGCUUGGUCUUGGGCGCCAGGCCCGCCCCCAUGGGCGGGCCCGUCCGAAACGCAUCGGCGAGCGGACCGACCCCCGGCGUGUUGAGAAUCCACAGGUUCGAGACGUCGGGAGCACCGGCCCCCUCCGCCGCAAAACCAACCCCCAAAAGGUUGACCUCGGAUCAGGUAGGGAUACCCGCUGAACUUAA
This 255-nucleotide unclassified non-coding RNA is filed under the name Dothideomycetes sp. RNAcentral describes it as "partial contains 5.8S ribosomal RNA, internal transcribed spacer 2, and large subunit ribosomal RNA". The record is from RNAcentral. Lineage: Eukaryota; Fungi; Ascomycota; Dothideomycetes.